Molecule: long non-coding RNA, 367 nt
Filed under: Elaeis guineensis (African oil palm)
Lineage: Eukaryota; Viridiplantae; Streptophyta; Magnoliopsida; Arecales; Arecaceae
Description: long non-coding RNA (EGUI_LNC004072)
Source: RNAcentral
GUUCGUCAUCGUCGUCCUCCUCCUCCUCCUCCUCCUCAGAAUCUAUGUCAUCAUCGUCAUCCUCGUCCUCCUCAUGAGUUACCAUGCCAUCUUCUUCUACCAUGGCGGCUCCUCGCUUCCCCCCCACGGACACAGAGGUCGGUGGGUGGUGGAAGCAGAGCUGCUGCUGCUGCUGAUCCGCGUGCGGUGGAGGUGGCGGCUGCUGCAUCUGCUGAGCGGGCGUGGCGGCGGCGGCGGCAGUGGCGUGGUGGUAGGCGCACAUCUCACGGAAGAAGAGGUGCUUGGAGUUGAGGAGCUUGCGGGCCUCCUCCUUGGCCUUGGGGGAGAGGUGCUCCAUGGUGUCUAGGAGGGCCUGGUUCUCCACCAC